Molecule: long non-coding RNA, 1991 nt
Filed under: Olea europaea (common olive)
Lineage: Eukaryota; Viridiplantae; Streptophyta; Magnoliopsida; Lamiales; Oleaceae
Description: long non-coding RNA (OEUR_LNC006036)
Source: RNAcentral
CCAGAGGGGGCAUGAUUUGUGUUGACAGCAGGCAUUUUUCGCCAAUAUCAAUCUCUUGUUCUUUAGGCUGAAAUUAUAUGAGUUUUCUUUCAACCCUGCAAUGAGAAUCCUCAUAAUUUUCAAUGAACUGUGAUUCAAAACUUGUACCUUCCAAUGUUACAGGAACAUUUUGAAUGUUUGGCACGCAAGUUGAAAGUUUCGAGCAUUUUGUGACUAUUCAGAAUUCAGUAUUAAACAAUUUGAGAGGUGUACACAUUUGAUUCCAUGAUAUAACGAAAGAGACCAAUUUCAAAAUAUCUUGUGUCGAUCAAUGCCCCGGGCCCUGGUUACUUUGAUUUGAAAUGAAGGAUAUUCAAAUACCUACCUUUCUGAAAAAUUGGGUGCUGUACGUUUUUCAUAACAAAUUAGAACCUCGCUAAUCAUCGAGAUUGCGAUUGGUUCAUUAAACAUAAAACAACAGGUGUGGGGAAAUUAAUUUUGUUUAUCUGUUUUUCAUUAAUUGAAGUGGAAAAUAUGUUUUUUUUUUUUUUUUAAAAAAAACUUUUUUUUAUCCUUUCUAAAAUUUGAACUAGUUUAUUUCUAGGAUAUUAUCUAUUUAUAAAAGAGCAUUUAUUAAGAACAUCUCCAAGAAUCUUUUUAUUUAUAAAUAGCAGCAUUUUUAAAUUUAAAGAGUUGAAAUUUUUAUACAUUCUAGCGAGAUCUCUAUUUUGAUUAUUUGUUUUGCCUUUUCUUUAAGAAAUAUUUAUUAAUUUCUUUUCAUUUUUAUUUAACAUAAUUUUUUAUGCGACGAUUGAUCAAUCAAUUUAAACGUGAUUUGAAUAGUUUAACAAGUAGAGUAUUAAAAUAUGUUAAUUAUUAAAUUCAAUCAUUGUCAUUAAGAAUAAAGAAUGAAUUUGACAUUUUAAAUUUAGAGAGUCAAAUCCAUUCUCUAUUUUAAAAAGCUAAGAGCGCGUUUGUUGUACCGUUUUCAAGCUAUUUUCAGCUUUGUAAAACAAUGAAAACGUGUUUGGUCUGGUAUUCCUGAAAAUACAUUUUCUAAAACAAGAAUAAACUUAUAACAUGAAACUCUAAACGUAUUUAUGACAUUUUGAGUAUAUUUUUUUAACAUGAUUUUUACACGACAAUUGACCAAUCAAUUUAAAUGCGGUUUGAAUAGUUUGAAAAAUGGAGUAUUAAAAUGUGUGAUUUAUUAAAUGCAAUCAUUGCCAUUAAAAAUAGAGAAUGAAUUUGGCUUUCUAAAGUUAGAGAGUCAAAUCCACCAUUUAUUUUAAAUAGUUAAGAGUGCGUUUGGUAUACUGUUUUCAAACUAUUUUCAGUUUUAUAAAACGUUGAAAACGUGUUUGGUUUUGAUAUUUUUGAAACGCUGUCAAAUUUUGUGAUCUACAACUUUUGACACUUCAACGUUCUUAAUUUUUUUUGCUACAACUUCACUUGGUUAGGGGUGUCCACCGUUUUGGUUUAAUAUCCAUCUGACAUGAAAACUGUUCUUGGUUUUUAUGCUGGUCCAAGCCAUUUUAUUGCGUAUGAAUGGUGAUCUACAUUUAAGUUGCGCUGAAGUAAAAAUUGUGAUGAUGUAGAAAUUUGUGUUUUUCUUAUUGUAACGUUUGAUUCUUCUGUUGCAGGUUUGUAGAGGGACUGCUGUGAUGCUCGUCUCCCCCACUGAAGGAACAGACGAGAUUGCCAAUCCAUUUGUCCAGCCAGAGGGGGCAUGAUUUGUGUUGACAGCAGGCAUUUUUCGCCAAUAUCAAUCUCUUGUUCUUUAGGCUGAAAUUAUAUGAGUUUUCUUUCAACCCUGCAAUGAGAAUCCUCAUAAUUUUCAAUGAACUGUGAUUCAAAACUUGUACCUUCCAAUGUUACAGGAACAUUUUGAAUGUUUGGCACGCAAGUUGAAAGUUUCGAGCAUUUUGUGACUAUUCAGAAUUCAGUAUUAAACAAUUUGAGAGGUGUACACAUUUGAUUCCAUGAUAUAACGAAAGAGACCAAUUUCAAAA